CACCCAGGACGGUGGAUCACUCGGCUCGUGGGUCGAUGAAGAACGCAGCAAAUUGCGCGUCGACAUGUGAACUGCAGGACACAUGAACAUCGACGUUUGGAACGCACAUUGCGGUCCAUGGAUUCCGUUCCCGGGCCACGUCUGGCUGAGGGUCG
Molecule: ribosomal RNA, 155 nt
Filed under: Schistocerca americana (American grasshopper)
Lineage: Eukaryota; Metazoa; Arthropoda; Insecta; Orthoptera; Acrididae
Description: 5.8S ribosomal RNA
Rfam family: 5.8S ribosomal RNA
About the family: 5.8S ribosomal RNA (5.8S rRNA) is a component of the large subunit of the eukaryotic ribosome. It is transcribed by RNA polymerase I as part of the 45S precursor that also contains 18S and 28S rRNA.
Source: RNAcentral